Molecule: Y RNA, 107 nt
Rfam family: Y RNA
About the family: Y RNAs are components of the Ro ribonucleoprotein particle (Ro RNP), in association with Ro60 and La proteins. The Y RNAs and Ro60 and La proteins are well conserved, but the function of the Ro RNP is not known.
Source: Ensembl
GGCCGGUCCGAAAGCACUGGGUUCUCACAAUUGAUUGCUUACAGUCAGUUUCAGAAAUCCUUGUUUCUUCUCUCCCCUCUCCCAUUGCUGACUUUGACCGGCCUUUU